RNAcentral lists this ribosomal RNA (118 nucleotides) under Pteropus alecto (black flying fox). Lineage: Eukaryota; Metazoa; Chordata; Mammalia; Chiroptera; Pteropodidae. The record is from RNAcentral.
GUCUACGGCCAUGCCACCCUAAACAAACCCGAUCCUGUCUGAUCUCGGAAGCAAGCAGGGUCGAGCUUGGUUAGUACUAGGAUGGGAGACCAUCUAGGAAGACCGGGUGCUGUAGAUG